CCUACGGGUGGCAGCAGUGGGGAAUUUUGGACAAUGGGCGAAAGCCUGAUCCAGCUAUGCCGCGUGAGUGAAGAAGGCCUUCGGGUUGUAAAGCUCUUUCGGUUGGGAAGAAGUUUAUCUGUUUAAGAGAUGGAUAGAUUGACGGUACCGACAGAAGAAGCACCGGCUAACUACGUGCCAGCAGCCGCGGUAAUACGUAGGGUGCGAGCGUUAAUCGGAAUUACUGGGCGUAAAGGGUGCGCAGGCGGCUACAUAAGUCAGAUGUGAAAUCCCCGGGCUUAACCUGGGAACUGCGUUUGAAACUAUGUGGCUAGAGUACAGCAGAGGGGGGUGGAACUCCAUGUGUAGCAGUGAAAUGCGUAGAUAUAUGGAAGAACCCCGAUUGCGAAGGCAGCAUACCGGCGGCGAUCUGACGCUGAGGCACGAAAGCGUGGGUAUCGAACAGGAUUAGAUACCCCUGUAGUC
This 465-nucleotide ribosomal RNA is filed under the name uncultured bacterium. RNAcentral's name for it is "partial 16S ribosomal RNA". It matches the Rfam family "Bacterial small subunit ribosomal RNA", at positions 338 to 795 of the family's 1533-position model. The record is from RNAcentral.